UGGGGAAUAUUGCACAAUGGAGGGAACUCUGAUGCAGCGACGCCGCGUGAACGAAGAAGGCUUUCGAGUCGUAAAGUUCUUUUAUAUGGGAAGAUAAUGACGGUACCAUAAGAAAAAGCCCCGGCUAACUACGUGCCAGCAGCCGCGGUAAUACGGAAGGUUCGGGCGUUAUCCGGAUUUAUUGGGUUUAAAGGGAGCGUAGGCCGUUUGGUAAGCGUGUUGUGAAAUGUAGGAGCUCAACUUCUAGAUUGCAGCGCGAACUGUCAGACUUGAGUGCGCACAACGUAGGCGGAAUUCAUGGUGUAGCGGUGAAAUGCUUAGAUAUCAUGAAGAACUCCGAUUGCGAAGGCAGCUUACGGGAGUGUUACUGACGCUUAAGCUCGAAGGUGCGGGUAUCGAACAGG
RNAcentral lists this ribosomal RNA (404 nucleotides) under Verrucomicrobiota bacterium. Its description in RNAcentral is "Verrucomicrobia bacterium partial 16S ribosomal RNA". It matches the Rfam family "Bacterial small subunit ribosomal RNA", at positions 355 to 776 of the family's 1533-position model. Lineage: Bacteria; Pseudomonadati; Verrucomicrobiota. The record is from RNAcentral.